UCGGGCGUGGUGUACGGGGCACGGCGGCUACCAUUUCGAGCACAUGUAAGAUUGCAGGCCGCAGACCGGGGUUCGACUCCCCGCGCCCGAA
This is a non-coding RNA of Mycena rosella, 91 nucleotides long. NCBI's taxonomy places the organism in Eukaryota, Fungi, Basidiomycota, Agaricomycetes, Agaricales, Mycenaceae. The record is from the annotation of a GenBank genome assembly.